CACCCGGUCAGUUUCCACCAGACUAUCAUGCCCUGGCAUUCCUGGCUCUGCCCUCCAAGGUUGCCGGAGGUUGGCGAGCAGCACCUGGCAGACGCAGCCUUGUUUUUGUCUGACUGAGAGGUCUGGAGGAAACACAGCGUUCACUAAAGAUAUUUGCUACAGUGGGUUAAACUCUCCUGAUUAGCAAGUCAAUCUAAUACAGGAAUCAUUAAAAGGAGACGAAAAGGGAAAGACAUCAAGGAGUAAAAUAAAAGACUCUUCACACACUCACAUUUUUGGACUCUGGAAGGAAACCCAUGCAGACACAGGAGGAGAACAUGCAAACUCCACACAGAAAGAACCUGGACUGCUCCACCUGGGGAUCGAACCCAGGCCCUUCUUGCUGUGAGACACCGUGCCACCCCUAAGUAAAGUAUGUUUCGGCUAGAAAAGUAUAACUAUGUAAGGAGGAAGGUUGGUUAGAAGGUAGAUUGGUGGAGUAGUAUGUAUAUGUACAGAGUGUUGGGGUACAUAUAAGUUGAUGAAUAUGUAGUUAUGAAGGUCUGUAUCUUAAUAUGUUAUUUUGAUAUGUGUGUGUGUGUGUGUGUGUGUGUGUGUGUGUUGUGUGUUUGAAUUUGAAUGUAUUGUGUAUUCAGCUCCCAUCAGCGGGUUAAACUCUCCUGAUUAGCAAGUCAAUCUAAUACAAGAAUCAUUUAAAGGCGACAAAAAGGGAAAGACAUCAAGGAGUAAAAUAAAAAGCUCUUCACACACUCACCCAGUCUCCCAUCUCAGCAAGCAAGAGAAAACCAGUGUGCACUGUUAAACCACUAAACUAAAUCAUUCUACAGUCCAUUAUAAACUGGAAACACUGUCCAGUCCUCAAAAUGAUUUACUUACACAGGAUCUGAGAUAUUUAGACUAAAAAGGGCUUUUAAAUAUUGAUUACUGAAUUGAUUUCUGGUCGUAUAGGUUAGGAACUCAGUCCAGUGUGCAAGCAACAACAGAAAAACUAAGUCUUCAAGGGUAAAACAAACAUAAAUAAAUACAUACAUAUUCCUUAUUAUAUUAUAUAUUAUAAGAAUACAGUUUGAAUGAUUUGUCUUUCCUCUGAAGGGCUUUAUUAUGAGUUUGGUGUUGGUCUCUCUCUGUGUUUGCUUGCCUUUCUUACACGUUACAAGGUCAAAGUACAUCUGAGUCCAGACUCGAGAUUUUCUUCCCUCAUUUACAGCAGGAGAAAAAAAAAGAGAGAAUUAUGGACAUGGAGCCAUGAGUUCAACCGUCUGAGCUUUUAUACAUUUACCAUGUCCACUGUUUAAUUUUAGUUCAUCUGAUGAUUAUAAAGGGAAUACAAUACUAAAAUUAAUACUAAUAAUUAAUAAUAAACACAUUAUUUAAAAAAAAUGUGCAGUAGGAUUUUAAUUCGUUUUGAAAAUGUACUUGCAGUAAUGGGUUUAUUUUAUUUGUUUGUCUGUAAGAGAGUGAACAAUAUUUCCUUUCAGUUUUAC
Trichomycterus rosablanca is the source of this 1484-nucleotide long non-coding RNA. RefSeq lists it as uncharacterized. NCBI's taxonomy places the organism in Eukaryota, Metazoa, Chordata, Actinopteri, Siluriformes, Trichomycteridae. The record is from RefSeq and is a predicted model, not a curated record. The transcript is spliced from 3 exons.